This 432-nucleotide ribosomal RNA is filed under the name uncultured Sphingomonas sp. RNAcentral describes it as "bacterial SSU rRNA". It matches the Rfam family "Bacterial small subunit ribosomal RNA", at positions 46 to 524 of the family's 1533-position model. Lineage: Bacteria; Pseudomonadati; Pseudomonadota; Alphaproteobacteria; Sphingomonadales; Sphingomonadaceae. The record is from RNAcentral.
GCCUAACACAUGCAAGUCGAACGAGACCUUCGGGCUUAGUGGCGCACGGGUGCGUAACGCGUGGGAAUCUGCCCUUGGGUUCGGAAUAACAGUUAGAAAUUUCUGCUAAUACCGGAUGAUGACGAAAGUCCAAAGAUUUAUCGCCCAAGGAUGAGCCCGCGUAGGAUUAGGUAGUUGGUGAGGUAAAGGCUCACCAAGCCGAUGAUCCUUAGCUGGUCUGAGAGGAUGAUCAGCCACACUGGGACUGAGACACGGCCCAGACUCCUACGGGAGGCAGCAGUGGGGAAUAUUGGACAAUGGGCGAAAGCCUGAUCCAGCAAUGCCGCGUGAGUGAUGAAGGCCUUUGGGUUGUAAAGUUCUUUUACCCGGGAUGAUAAUGACAGUACCGGGAGAAUAAGCCCCGGCUAACUCCGUGCCAGCAGCCGCGGUAAU